Molecule: non-coding RNA, 199 nt
Organism: Ceratotherium simum simum (southern white rhinoceros)
Lineage: Eukaryota; Metazoa; Chordata; Mammalia; Perissodactyla; Rhinocerotidae
Source: RefSeq, a predicted model, not a curated record
GAGACACCAUAAUUUGGGAAAUGUGAAUCUUGUACCCGUCUGUUCAGGACUCCUGAAGAUAAAGAUGAGCCUUCUGUUUGCAGUGAUCAUGGGGCCUUCAGAUGAAGCCAGCCUCAGGAUAAUAAACCAGGUGAUGGUUUCACCUUCAGGAAAUCAUUUCUCCUCCCAAGCCUGCUUCCUCAUUAAAAAACAAAACACA